This 513-nucleotide ribosomal RNA is filed under the name uncultured bacterium. RNAcentral's name for it is "partial 16S ribosomal RNA". It matches the Rfam family "Bacterial small subunit ribosomal RNA", at positions 28 to 523 of the family's 1533-position model. The record is from RNAcentral.
GAUGAACGCUGGCGGCGUGCCUAAUACAUGCAAGUCGAGCGAACAGAUAAGGAGCUUGCUCCUUUGACGUUAGCGGCGGACGGGUGAGUAACACGUGGGUAACCUACCUAUAAGACUGGAAUAACUCCGGGAAACCGGGGCUAAUGCCGGAUAACAUUUAGAACCGCAUGGUUCUAAAGUGAAAGAUGGUUUUGCUAUCACUUAUAGAUGGACCCGCGCCGUAUUAGCUAGUUGGUAAGGUAAUGGCUUACCAAGGCAACGAUACGUAGCCGAGCUGAGAGGGGGAUCGGCCACACUGGAACUGAGACACGGUCCAGACUCCUACGGGAGUCAGCAGUAGGGAAUCUUCCGCAAUGGGCGAAAGCCUGACGGAGCAACGCCGCGUGAGUGAUGAAGGGUUUCGGCUCGUAAAACUCUGUUAUUGGGGAAGAACAAACGUGUAAGUAACUGUGCACGUCUUGACGGUACCUAAUCAGAAAGCCACGGCUAACUACGUGCCAGCCGCCGCCGUAA